This is a long non-coding RNA of Photinus pyralis (common eastern firefly), 563 nucleotides long. RefSeq lists it as uncharacterized. The record is from RefSeq and is a predicted model, not a curated record. NCBI's taxonomy places the organism in Eukaryota, Metazoa, Arthropoda, Insecta, Coleoptera, Lampyridae. The transcript has 4 exons.
UAUUAAGUGGCCUAAUGCGGAAGAUUGCGAACAAAUUGCAAAUGAUUUUCAACAGCGUUGUAAUUAUCCAGAUGUGAUUGGUGCUAUUGACGGUUGCCACAUAACUUGUAAAAUACCCAAGGAGCAGCAUGACAGUUAUCAGGAUCGCAAGUUUUGCCAUUCCAUUACCCUUCAAGGAGUGUGUAUUUCCUCCAGAUUAUUUACUAAUAUUUCUGUUGGUUAUCCAGGAUCUGUGCAUGAUGCACGAUUUUGUAGAUACUUAGAGAAUCGGACUUGGGAAAAAUCUGUGAAACUAACUGUUUCAAUCUGUUUUACGGUAGAUACCACUUGGUGGGAGAUUCCGCAUAUCCAUUAAGGUCAUGGUUAAUAACUCCGUAUAGGAACACUGGAAUUAUGCCGCUGCAACGGAAACACAACUACGCACAUAGUGUGACACGGGUUGUAAUCGAAAAUACUUUCGGCAUGUUGAAAGGCCGUUGGAGGAUUUUAAAUUUUGUUAAUGUAUAUACCAUUGAAAAGGCUAUUGAUAUUAUAACCGCAUGUUGUAUACUGCAUAAUUUUUG